UAGGGAAUCUUCCACAAUGGACGAAAGUCUGAUGGAGCAACGCCGCGUGAGUGAAGAAGAUUUCGGAUACGUAAAGCUCUGUUGUUGGUGAAGAAGGAUAGAGGCAGUAACUGGUCUUUAUUUGACGGUAAUCAACCAGAAAGUCACGGCUAACUACGUGCCAG
This 164-nucleotide ribosomal RNA is filed under the name uncultured bacterium. RNAcentral's name for it is "partial 16S rRNA". It matches the Rfam family "Bacterial small subunit ribosomal RNA", at positions 355 to 511 of the family's 1533-position model. The record is from RNAcentral.